Molecule: ribosomal RNA, 492 nt
Filed under: uncultured bacterium
Lineage: Bacteria
Description: partial 16S ribosomal RNA
Rfam family: Bacterial small subunit ribosomal RNA
Source: RNAcentral
GAUGAACGCUAGCUACAGGCUUAACACAUGCAAGUCGAGGGGAAACGACAUCGAAAGCUUGCUUUUGAUGGGCGUCGACCGGCGCACGGGUGAGUAACGCGUAUCCAACCUGCCCAUCACUUGGGAAUAACCUUGCGAAAGUAAGACUAAUACCCAAUGACACCCCACGAAGACAUCUGAAUGGGAUUAAAGAUUUAUCGGUGAUGGAUGGGGAUGCGUCUGAUUAGCUUGUUGGCGGGGUAACGGCCCACCAAGGCAACGAUCAGUAGGGGUUCUGAGAGGAAGGUCCCCCACAUUGGAACUGAGACACGGUCCAAACUCCUACGGGAGGCAGCAGUGAGGAAUAUUGGUCAAUGGGCGAGAGCCUGAACCAGCCAAGUAGCGUGCAGGAUGACGGCCCUAUGGGUUGUAAACUGCUUUUAAAAGGGAAUAAAGUGGGUCUCGUGAGACUUUUUGCAUGUACCUUAUGAAUAAGGACCGGCUAAUUCCGUG